RNAcentral lists this ribosomal RNA (291 nucleotides) under uncultured eukaryote. RNAcentral describes it as "partial 18S ribosomal RNA". It matches the Rfam family "Eukaryotic small subunit ribosomal RNA", at positions 6 to 311 of the family's 1831-position model. The record is from RNAcentral.
GGUUGAUCCUGCCAGUAGUCAUAUGCUUGUCUCAAAGAUUAAGCCAUGCAUGUCUCAGUGUAAACUUUUAAACGGUGAAACUGCGAAUGGCUCAUUAAAACAGUUAUAGUUUAUUUGAUAAUCACUUUUACAUGGAUAACCGUGGUAAUUCUAGGGCUAAUACAUGCGUAAACCCCGUAAGGGGUGUGUUUAUUAGAUUUUAAACCAACUCUGGGUAACCAGGUACAUUGGAAUGAUAAUAACCGAACGAAUCGCACUUCGUAGUAGCGAUAGAUCAUUCAAGUUUCUGAC